This is a long non-coding RNA of Cyprinus carpio carpio, 312 nucleotides long. NCBI's taxonomy places the organism in Eukaryota, Metazoa, Chordata, Actinopteri, Cypriniformes, Cyprinidae. The record is from Ensembl.
UAGGUACUGAUGCUUUACAUAUGUGUGCCAAUUUUCGUGCAUGUACGUGAAACACAGCUGGAGGGCUGUUGAUUUUUUUACGAUAGGUGGCGCUGUUGAGCCAUUUUGCCACACCCUCUUCUGAAACCUAUAUCAGACGUAAAUUUUCACCAGGUCUGACGCGUGUGCAAAGUUUCAUGACUUUUCGAGCAUGUUUAGGCCCUCAAAAAUGCGAUUCAUUUUGGAGAAGAAGAAGAAGAAGAAGAAGAAGAAGAAGAAGAAUAAUAAUAAUAAUAAACAAAGCAGAUACAAGAGGGUCCUCACACCAUCGGU